GAACGCACAUUGCGCCCGCCAGUAUUCUGGCGGGCAUGCCUGUUCGAGCGUCAUUUCAACCAUCAAGCCCUGCUUGUGUUGGGGGUCCUGCGGCUGCCCGCAGGCCCUGAAAACCAGUGGCGGGCUCGCUAGUCACACCGAGCGCAGUAGCACAUCUCGCUUUGGUCGUGCGGCGGGUUCUUGCCGUAAAACACCCCCCUUUUAUCAAGGUUGACCUCGGAUCAGGUAGGAAUACCCGCUGAACUUAAG
This 249-nucleotide unclassified non-coding RNA is filed under the name uncultured Sordariales. RNAcentral describes it as "sequence contains 5.8S rRNA gene". The stretch from base 1 to 53 matches the Rfam family "5.8S ribosomal RNA", at positions 102 to 154 of the family's 154-position model. The record is from RNAcentral. Lineage: Eukaryota; Fungi; Ascomycota; Sordariomycetes; Sordariales.